ACACACACACACACACACACAUACACACACUGCAUAUGACCCGAGGGUCAAGGUGCACUGACUCUGAGGGUUUUCUAACUGGGCCUCUUGAAACUCUUUCCUUGCAUUCCAGUGCCCGGAGGAGGGGGUUGUUGCAGUCAGGCAUAUUACAAGAGAGAGAAAGAGAGAGAGAGAGAGACAGAGAGAAGGAGUGAUAGAGAGUAAUAGAAAAGAGAGAGAGAAAGACAGGGAGAGAGAGGAAGAAGUGGGGGUAGAAUGGAGCUGGAAGGUAUUAUGCACGAUUUCCUUGAAGCUCCUGCUUGUUCCCUCCCACCUCUACCACUCUGUAAGGGAAACGCUGAAAACUUGAACCUGCUAUUCUCCAGCUGCCUCGGCCUUCUAACUAGCUCACUUGUUUUUUUUCUCUUCUGUUCCACUCUUAUGUGUCUCUCUCCUAUUCCCUCACCCUCUCCCUGUUUCUCUCUCUCCCUUUCUCCUGGCUCUGUGUAACAGGAUCACUUUGUUUCCGUAGCCUUUUUUUCCGCGGUGCUGCGGACACACAUGGAGGAGAGGAUUGGAUUUGAGGAGAUACUGACGGGGGUGCACAGCUGCAACGGUCCCCUCCAUCUCCACACCAGGACUAAUGCCGGCCCCUCUCUCUCUCUUUCUCUCUCUCUCUCUCUCUCUCUCUCUCUCUCUCUCUCUCUCUCUCUCUCUCCCUGUGUGUUUGACUCUCCCUCUGUCGCACUCUCUCUCUGCUUUCUGCCGCCCAGAGGGGUGGGGGGUGCCAUAUGGGAGCUCAGAAAAAUGGAAGUGGAUCAGAGAUAGACGAGAGAGGAAUCUGUCAUUCUUGGGCUUGUAUGUCGGGAUCUUUGUGGAAGGCAAACUCAAAAUUCACCAUGGCAGUGAAACCCCGCCAGCAAGAGACUUCCAUGAAGGGAGGCCUGACAAUUCUGACAAGUCUGUCUCUUCCCGCGCCCAAAGGUUAGACAAAUCCCAACUCCUGAAACCUUACCUCCUAGUUUUUCUGUGUGAUCCAUUUUGUUAGCAGAGAGUGGAGGCUAGUGCUCGGGUGUAUGACUGCGUUGUUUGCACAUUUGCAGCAGUAGAGUGAGUCAGUAAAAGUGUCAGACUGGCGUAACAGACGGCCUGCACGAACUAAUUAGCCUGGAGUCAUUUGGAAGCGGCUCAGCUCGGCCCAGGUGCCCACUGUGCACAGAAAGAGACCAGACGACCUUUUUACCCAGCCCCGUCCCACGGCAGUCACUUAAAACAGUGAUGGAUGUUUUCCCUACCAGCCCUCGUUUUCAUUUUCUCUCCGCCCUCCCUCUUCCCCACCAUUUUCCCCCUUCCUCUCCUCUCCCUCCAACACCACUCUCCCUUUAUGUAUCCCAUCUUCUCUCCUUGUUUUUCUACCAUUCUUUUACAGAAUGACGAGAAGGAAGAGGAAGAAGAAAGGCAGGGGCAUUGAAGUGAAGUGGAGGUUGGUGUUUCCUGCCAGCACAGCGUCAAGGACCCCCCCCCCCCCCCCCCCCCCCCCCCCUCCCAACUCCUCAUUAGUAUGCAGUGGCUUAGGUGACAUGGCUCCUGGGUUGGGUCUCGACUGCAGGAACAUCAGUGACGUGGAGGAGAGCGGGAUAGCAGGUAAGGACAAUGAGAACAGGCAGAAAAAAAGGGAGACGGAGGAAAGGGAAGGACGAGAGACGGGCACAAGGCAAGGGAUGGACUUUUAAUGAUUUAACACCCCAGCACAUACACACCCUUGUACACUUUACACUGCUGUAACACACACAUUUUCAGUCUAGCCUACUCCCGAAGCCAUCUCUACAGGAAAGGGCACUAGAAAUGUUUGUUGUCUUUAAUUAAAUUAACUAUAACUAUCUGCUGAGUCGUAAUUAUCUAGGAACAUGCAGUUUCUGAAAUAUUCUGUAUUUUACUUGGGGUAUGCGGUUUCUAACAUGCAUUCAUUUAUUAUUCAUUUAUUUACUUCUUGUAUUGUGUAUCUUAACAGAAAAUGUAAUAAUUGUAGAUGUUACAAUGUCUGCCUUUCAUAUUGUAAACA
This is an RNA transcript of Etheostoma cragini (Arkansas darter), 2041 nucleotides long. It is a transcript of the gene named mothers against decapentaplegic homolog 6-like, with no coding region annotated. The record is from RefSeq and is a predicted model, not a curated record. Lineage: Eukaryota; Metazoa; Chordata; Actinopteri; Perciformes; Percidae. The transcript has 3 exons.